This 1552-nucleotide long non-coding RNA is filed under the name Lathyrus oleraceus (garden pea). RNAcentral describes it as "Pisum sativum (pea) long non-coding RNA (PSAT_LNC008379)". Lineage: Eukaryota; Viridiplantae; Streptophyta; Magnoliopsida; Fabales; Fabaceae. The record is from RNAcentral.
ACAGAAGCACAACCUAAAAGAGGUAGGUCAAUUUUUGAUACCUUGUCUUCUGCUGUUUUGUUUAUAAAUAGUUUGGCAUUCUUCAUCUUUAAAGUUUCAACUCUUGUAGUGACUGAAAUAUCUACUCUCUGCGGGAGACCUAGUUUCAUUUAUAUCAUCAUUUUUUUGUUGGAUAGGAAAAUGUUAGUAAUUAGUUAGGUUAGUAUUUUCUCCUUCACCGAGGUUUGAACCCGGAUCCUCCAACUCAUUAAGCCCUUGGCCCAAAAACCUGGGUUUGAACCUGGAUCCUCCAACUCUUUUAGCCCUUAGCCCAAAAACCUGGGUUUGAACCUGGAUCCUCCAACUCAUUUAACCUCUGGCCCCAAAAACCUGGGUUUGAACCUGGAUCCUCCAACUCAUUUAACUCUUGGCCCCAAAACCAGCUGAACUACUCAAAUCACCUAUUUAUAUCAUCAUCUUGUUCGUAAACUUGAGUCAACAUGCUCAAUCCUAUUUGCUGGAAGUUUUUUUUUUGCGUGGAUACUCAUCCAUUCUAGGAUUCAUCAACGUAAGACACCCCCUAGCUCAAAAACCAGUUGAGCUACCCAACUCACUCAUGUAUAUCAUCAUCGUGUUCAUAAAUUUGAGUCAACAUGCUCAAUCCUAUUUGCUGGAAGUUUUUUUGCAUGGAUAUUCUUCCAUUCUAAGAUUCAUCAACUUAAGGCACCAUUAUACUAUCCCAUUAUUUUCUACACCUUGAAAAUAUUGGUCUAAUCUCUAUGAAUCACAUACACCUCUAGGACUAAGCGUGUCUUGGUGUCCGACACUCAUAUGACACUACACGUGUCGGAAAAUUUAAGAAAUGUCCUAUUUUUCUCUCUCUUUCCUUUGCUUCGACACUCUAUGGAUUGGUUUCUGACACCCAUAUGAAACUUAUACUGCACAUCUCAGACAACUUAGACAAGUAUCCAAUUUUUUUUCUUUGCUUCAAAGCAACUUAGAUAUUCUUUUGACAUAUCUUAGACACAUGUGCUCGGAUUAAAGAUGUGUCAAAAUAAUGCUGAUAAAUGAAGGGUUAAGGAUAUUAAAUUUGAUUACAAUAUUUUUAGCUUUUUCGAUAAUAGAUGAAUAAAUAAAAGUCAAAUACGAAUCUGGUCUAAUAAUUAUUUUAAUGAAAUAAAUUGCUCAAUUUAGAUGCACAUGUAUAUAUUUUGAUUUUCAAUUUAAACAUUUUAUGAAUAAUAUCAAUAUUUUAUUUAAUUAUAAUAAAACAUAUAGGCGUAGCGUGUCAGUGUCGCUAUGUCCGUGUCAGUGUCUGCGGUUCAUAGGUCAAAUGUCCUUGUUCCUUUUUUCUCGAACUAAAAUUUGCAUAAUACAGAGAGAAAGAAAAAUUUAAUUCAUGUAUGUUUAGUAGAUUCCAGUCUGAGAUGCUUAUGAUACUUCCAUCUUAUUUUAUGUUUUGGCUCUUUGAAAUUGGAGCUGGAUCUGUGACAUGUCUGGGCGCUUGAUUGACUUGCUUGAAUGUUGUUUCUUGGUCGGGUUUUUCCUGGUAAUGGGAGUUUUAUAUAGAAGC